Molecule: long non-coding RNA, 372 nt
Filed under: Panax ginseng (ginseng)
Lineage: Eukaryota; Viridiplantae; Streptophyta; Magnoliopsida; Apiales; Araliaceae
Description: long non-coding RNA (PGIN_LNC004078)
Source: RNAcentral
UUUGAAGGUCACGUACCUGGGGAAGUAAACUUUGAUGUAUGUAAAUUAAGUUCGAAUGUAUUAUUAUUUAGUAUUAUUCAGCUUAAAGAAAUGGUAUCGUGGAGAACCGAGUUCGGGUUUCAAGUAUCCGGAUUUGGGGUCGCCAUAGGAUACCAGCUUUGGUUCCCAUAAAUAUAGAUUUAUGAAGGAACCAAGCAGUAGUAGAAAGCUAAACAAAGAUAAGUAAUCCUAUGUGUGGGAAAUAAAUCAAAGGUUGUUGCAUUAGCCACAGGAACUUAUAGUUUAGCACAGCCUACGGGCAAAUCUAUUAAGUCAAUAAGUUGUUAUUGUAUUCCAGUUUUCGUUAAAAAUAUUAUUUCCAUUUUAUUUUUG